UUACGUGGAGUGAUGCUGCUCAGCCUUGUGAGAGAUGUGGCCGAUUUAACAGGGAGCAAAAGCAGCCCAGCCCACCGACCCGAUCCGGAAAUGCCAUCCUGGAGGUUUCAAAAAAACGUUGCGACACAGAAUGUGGCUGCAAACAACCACAUCCUGACAACGUUUGCCACUGAUCCCGGUAAUUAUUUACGGGUUCACCUUGGAGUCGCUACUGGCUAAUGGAUUCGGUUUCACGGCAAGGUUUCCCCUGUGUUCCAAGAACUGGAUGGAUGGAUUGAUGGAGUGCAAUCCAUGAAGCAGGUGAGAACAAGCUGGCCGUGAAGGGCAGCCACCUGUCGCAUAGCAGGAGUUGGGGGUUAAGGGUUUUGCUCAAGGACCAAAGACAUGCCAAAGCUGGGUGUGAACUGAGGACCUUCUGACCACAGGGCAUCCAGGCUUAGCCCACUGCUGCCCUAAUAUAUAUGUGAGUAUACAACCUCAGCAGAUAUAUUGCACAGGACUGGUUCUGAUUCUGGAUGGCUGUGUUCCACCUCGGAAGACCCAGUUUAAUAGGAGGUCACAAAGACCUCUACCGUCUACACCCAAAAACACUCGGGGCACCAUCCUCCUGCUAAGUGCAGCACAAAAUGGACACAUGAGUGACCCCAUCCAAACAGAAAUGGACAUAUGGGGUGACUCGACCCAAACGGAAAUGGACACACAAGUGACUCGACCCAAACGGAAAUGGACACACAAGUGACUCGACCCAAACGGAAAUGGACACAGGGGUGACCCAAUUCAAACGGAACUGGACGGAGAAGUGACUCAGUCCAAACGGAAAUGGACACAGGGGUGACUUGAUGCAA
Long non-coding RNA from Brienomyrus brachyistius, 845 nucleotides. RefSeq lists it as uncharacterized. NCBI's taxonomy places the organism in Eukaryota, Metazoa, Chordata, Actinopteri, Osteoglossiformes, Mormyridae. The transcript has 3 exons. The record is from RefSeq and is a predicted model, not a curated record.